UAAGGGAUAUUGCACAAUGGGCGCAAGCCUGAUGCAGCGACGCCGCGUGGGUGAUGACGGUUUUCGGACUGUAAAACCCUUUUCCAGGUGACGAGCAAGGACGGUAGCCUGGGAAUAAGUGUCGGCUAACUACGUGCCAGCAGCCGCGGUAAAACGUAGGACACGAGCGUUAUCCGGAGUUACUGGGCGUAAAGGGCGGGUAGGCGGUGCGAUAAGACUGGUGUGAAAGCCUUCGGCUUAACCGAGGGAGGACACUGGUGACUGUCGGACUAGAGGCAGAUAGAGGGGUGUAGAAUUCCGGGUGUAGUGGUGAAAUGCGUAGAGAUCCGGAGGAAUACCAGAGGCGAAGGCGGCACCCUGGGUCUGACCUGACGCUGAUCCGCGACAGCAUGGGGAGCGAA
RNAcentral lists this ribosomal RNA (401 nucleotides) under uncultured bacterium. RNAcentral's name for it is "bacterial SSU rRNA". It matches the Rfam family "Bacterial small subunit ribosomal RNA", at positions 355 to 772 of the family's 1533-position model. The record is from RNAcentral.